RNAcentral lists this ribosomal RNA (482 nucleotides) under uncultured bacterium. RNAcentral's name for it is "partial 16S ribosomal RNA". It matches the Rfam family "Bacterial small subunit ribosomal RNA", at positions 28 to 507 of the family's 1533-position model. The record is from RNAcentral.
GAUGAACGCUAGCGGCAGGCCUAAUACAUGCAAGUCGGACGGGAUUCAGGAGCUUGCUUCUGAUGAGAGUGGCGCACGGGUGCGUAACACGUAUGUAACCUACCUUUAUCAGGGGGAUAGCCUCUCGAAAGAGAGAUUAAGCCCGCAUAAAAUCACAGCACAGCAUUGUGUAAUGAUCAAAUAUUUAUAGGAUAAAGAUGGGCAUGCGGAACAUUAGCUAGAUGGCGGGGUAACGGCCCACCAUGGCGACGAUGUUUAGGGGAUCUGAGAGGAUGGCCCCCCACACUGGUACUGAGACACGGACCAGACUCCUACGGGAGGCAGCAGUAAGGAAUAUUGGUCAAUGGGCGGAAGCCUGAACCAGCCAUGCCGCGUGCAGGAAGACGGCCCUACGGGUUGUAAACUGCUUUUAUACGGGAAUAAACCCAGAUACGUGUAUCUGGCUGAAUGUACUGUAAGAAUAAGGAUCGGCUAACUUCGUG